AGCAGCCGCGGUAAUUCCAGCUCCAAUAGCGUAUAUUAAAGUUGUUGCAGUUAAAAAGCUCGUAGUUGAAUUUCGGGAUUGACACAUCGGUCGUGCCUUAAGGGGUAUGAACUGGUGUAGUCAAUUUCUCACCUUCUGGAGAACCACGAUGCCCUUAAUUGGGUGUCGCGGGGAACCAGGACCUUUACUUUGAAAAAAUUAGAGUGUUUAAAGCAGGCAUUUUGCUUGAAUACAUUAGCAUGGAAUAAUAAAAUAGGACGGCAUGAUUCUAUUUUGUUGGUUUCUAGGAUCACCGUAAUGAUUAAUAGGGAUAGUUGGGGGCAUUAGUAUUCAAUUGUCAGAGGUGAAAUUCUUGGAUUUAUUGAAGACUAACUACUGCGAAAGCAUUUGCCAAGGAUGUUUUCAUUAAUCAAGAACGAAAGUUAGGGGAUCGAAGACGAUCAGAUACCGUCGUAGUCUUAACCAUAAACUAUGCCGACUAGGAAUCAGACGAUGUUAAUUUUUAAUGACUCGUUU
This 516-nucleotide ribosomal RNA is filed under the name uncultured Entrophospora. Its description in RNAcentral is "SSU rRNA". It matches the Rfam family "Eukaryotic small subunit ribosomal RNA", at positions 569 to 1081 of the family's 1831-position model. The record is from RNAcentral. Lineage: Eukaryota; Fungi; Glomeromycota; Glomeromycetes; Entrophosporales; Entrophosporaceae.